UCCUCAAACUCGCAAAUCUCCUGUGUUUUUCAUUUUUGGGGUGUUUGUAAGACAACCGAAGCGGGCUUGUGUGUGUGUGUGUGUUCGUGCCCUUGAGGACGGAUUUCCCCUCCCAGGAUGCAUCAGCUGCUUGUGGUUACCUCAGUGCUGGUGGCGCUCUGCUCUCUAGGGAGUGUGGAUACUUCUGCCUACGAUAAGAUUGUCACCCACAGUCGCAUACGGGCCAGGAAAGAAGGACCCAAUGUGUGCGCCCUGCAACAGGUCCAGGGGUCUAAAAAGAAGUACUUCAGCACAUGCAGGAACUGGUACAAAGGCUCCAUCUGUGGCAAGAAGACCCUGGUUCUAUAUGAAUGCUGUCCUGGAUACAUUAAGCUGGAGGGUAUGAGAGGAUGCCCUGCUGUGGCUCCCAUUGACCAUGUCUACGGUACGCUGGGGCUCAUAAAGGCUACGACCACGCAGCAAUACUCUGACACGGCCAAGCUGAGGGAGGAAAUUGAAGGCCAAGGCUCUUUUACCAUGUUUGCACCUAGCAAUGAUGCCUGGGAUCUGGUGGACUCUACUGUGCGGUCUGCACUGGUAAGCAACGUGAACAUCGAGCUGUACAACGCGCUUCACUUCCAUAUGGUGAACCGCCGCAUUUUGACCAAAGACAUGAAGAACGACAUGACUUUCACUUCCAUGUACAACAACCUGGGGUUGUACGUCAACCACUACUCCAAUGGGAUUGUGACAGUGAACUGUGCCAGGAUCGUCCUUGGUAAUCAGGUGGCCACAAAUGGUGUGGUGCAUGUCAUUGACCGGGUCAUCAGCAGUGUUAGCAACAACAUCAAGGAAGUCCUGGACGUCACCGACGAUCUCUCCGCCUUCACGAAUGUAGUAAUGGCUUCUGGUAUGAUGGACAAGCUGGACCAGCCUGGCCACUACACCCUGUUUGCCCCCACUAAUGAAGCCUUUGACAAACUGAGCCCAGGCUACCUGGAGCGUAUCAUGGGAGACAAGGCUGUAAUUGCAGCCCUGGUGAACUACCACCUGCUGAGCAGUGUCCAGUGUUCAGAAGCCAUCAUGUCAGGGACCGCGUACGAGACCGCAGAGGGCAGCACCAUCGAGAUCGGCUGUGACGGCGACAGCUUGACGGUCAAUGGAAUCACGAUGGUGCUGAAGAAGGACGUCGUCACCACCAAUGGCGUCAUCCACUUCAUCGACCAGGUGCUCAUCCCUGACUCAGCCAAGGAAGGGAUGGAGCUGAUGGGAGACUCCCAGAGCACCUUCAGCAACAUGCUCUAUGAAAUGGGCUUUUCGGCUGCCCUGGGUCCGAAGACAGAGUACACACUCCUCGCUCCUCUCGACUCUGCCUUCACACAUGAAGUGACAGAUAAAAACGUGCUGAAAUUCCUUUUGCAAAACCACAUCUUGAAGAUGAAAGUUACUCUGAGCGAGCUCUACAAUGGACAGACGCUGGAAACCGUGGCUGGCAAACUGCUCCGAGUCUUCAUUUACCGCACUGCUGUGUGCAUAGAAAAUGCAUGUAUGGUGCGUGGCAGUAAAGAGGGAAGCAAUAGUGCGCUCCAUGUUAUGAGGACUCUCAUCAAACCGCCCGAGAAAACCAUCUAUGAGCUCCUGAUCGCUGACAGGCGGUUCAAGAUUUUUCUGUCGCUGAUUGAGACAGCAGGUCUGACCAAUCUGCUGAAGCAAGAAGGCUCCUACACCAUCUUUGCACCCACUGACGAUGCCUUUGAUAACCUCAGUAAAGAGGAACUUGCUCUGCUCAAAAGUGAUCUGAAUGCUCUGAGAACCAUUUUGCUGUACCACUUCAGUAACGGCAUCUUCAUCAACGGAGGAUUAGAGCGAGGAGUCACCAAUCUGCUCAAAACCUUCCAGGGCAAAAACCUGCAAGUGAUGUCUGUAAACAACUCCAUUCAUGUCAAUUCUGUGGACGUGCCAAACAGUGACCUGAUGGCAACAAACGGCGUCGUCCAUGUGGUGAAGAAUGUUCUCUAUCCCGCGGAUCUUCCCGUGGGCCGGCAGGACCUCCUGGUCCUCCUGAAGAAGCUGAUCAAGUACAUCCAUAUAACGUAUACUUCUGGAUUUACUUAUGAGGAGAUUCCCCUGACGUUCAUAAGGACAACCGUCACAACUACACACAUUAAAACAGAGCCUACUUUCACCAAGGUCACAAAAGUCUUCCAGACAGAUCCAGUGAUCACUGAGGUGGUUGUCAAGGGAGAACCAGCGAUCACCAAGGUAACCAGGGUCAUUGAGGGGGACCCUUCCUUUGCAAAGGUCACCAGAGUCAUUGCAGGAGAACCCUCCGUGACUAAGGUUACAAGAGUUAUUGAGGGUAAGUUCCUGAACGCUUAAGAAAAUUGAUUGCAGGCGCGGACUUCUCUAAGAUCACCACCAUCCACGGCAACCCAAAUCGAGUCGAUGAGGAAUCGGAGAGAAUAACCAAACUCAUUCGAGACGGAGGCGGGUUCGCUGCUGCCAGGAAAGCUGCAGUUGGAAUGAGAAAGAGGAGAAAACAGCUGGUCAGGCGUCACCCUAAACCAAGGGAGUGAAUCGAAAAGAGAGAAAACACCUUUGGGCACGGAGACUGAAAGCAUCUUGAGGUGCUCCUGGUUGAGUGCUUGUGAAACUGUGGACCGAUAGGGAGAGAUGUAACCAGUUUAGCUAUUUCCGUUUCCAAACCACCUGUAAGAAUGAUUGUUUACUAUUUUAUCUGGUCCAUAAUGCGUGUGAUAACCAUGACGUGUAUAAGCAAUGCAAUGGAAACAGAAUACCUUAUAAGUCUUGUGAAUGUGCAAGGGAAAUAUGGAAUGUUUCCUUGAUGGUGUUUAAUUGAGAUAUCUCCGCCAAAGUUUCACUUUGUAAACGAUUGGCUUGGGAAGAUUUUGGGAUGUUUUUUAUGGUGCUUGUAUCCUUUACAGUGUCUUUUCAUGCAUAUGACAAAUGUAAACAGCGCUUUUAACAGAUGCUGUUCUGAACCUCUGUAAAUUAUCCCAUUGAGAUUAGAGAAAAUACAAUUAAACUGCAUCUAUUUUUCAGUGAUUCUUUCAAA
Gasterosteus aculeatus aculeatus (three-spined stickleback) is the source of this 3055-nucleotide non-coding RNA. The record is from RefSeq and is a predicted model, not a curated record. Lineage: Eukaryota; Metazoa; Chordata; Actinopteri; Perciformes; Gasterosteidae.